Molecule: long non-coding RNA, 301 nt
Organism: Pongo pygmaeus (Bornean orangutan)
Lineage: Eukaryota; Metazoa; Chordata; Mammalia; Primates; Hominidae
Exons: 3
Source: RefSeq, a predicted model, not a curated record
ACUAAGUCCACUUUGGAAAAAAAAAUACUAAGUGCUCAUGAAGGGACCUUGUGAAUGAUAAUGUACAAAGUUACGGAUGCUGAGAAGCCAAAGGUCAAAAGGCUGCAUCUGUUAAGAGCCUUCUUGCUGAUGGAAACUUUGAAGAGUCCCAAGAUGGCACAGGAAGCAACUUGAAUUUUGAGAGUAAAUCAAGAAAGAAGAAGACACUGAUUCAAGAAGAGGCCACCUAACAUAACAGGUGAAUCCCAGGAUCAUGAGGAAUGGGCCCCAAGAAGACAGUUCGACAGUGCUAGGGAGCACC